CAAAAAUUCCCUGCAAGAUUUUUAGAGGGAUAAAUGCAGAAGCAAAGAUUAUCCUGUAUCUAAAUAAACAUGGUUUUCAAUUUGCUUUCAAAUGUAAGUAAUCAUCAUGUUGGAUGAUCAUAUCCACAAGUUAUGAAUCAAAAUGUAACCAUCCCAGUCUUCUCUCUUGUGAAUUCAAAUACUUUAUUAUUUAAAAUACUCAAAUGACGGAUGCCUAUAUCGAAGAAUAGAUGGAUGCAAUCAAAAUUGGGAACAUCCAUCACAUUAAUAAGAAUAAUCCGGGAAAAACAACUUGACAAAAAAUAAAACUCAGAACAUUUGAUUACUUCAACUUCCAGAUUUCACGAGAAUUUGGAAUAAAAAAGAACUUGAAAACUCAAGAAUCUUCAAACUGGCUUCAUUGGUGUCUACUUAUUGAAGAAACAUGGUCUCACCAUUAUCCAAAUGCAAUAUUUUAUAAUGUAUAGAAAUACGUUGAAGACAUUUUAAAGGAAGUUCCGGAUGUCCAAAGUUUUGACGUCAACCGCCGCAGGCUCAUCCUUGAAUUCCUCCCUGAAAUAGCAGACAAGGAAAAAUAAAUCAUAUAAUGGUUUAAAAUUUUAUUUAUUUCGUAGUGAAACGAGUAAAGUGUCUCUAACCAUAACAAUAGUCCUAUUUCCAACAAACCAAUUGGUCCAUGUGAAAUUCAUAUAUUCCAAAUUCAAAAGCCGUAGGGAUAUUUUAUACUACUAUCUUCAAUUUUAGAAUCAGGCAGAAAAUAAAAACAAAAAGGUGUUUUUGUUAUAAUAAAAAAAAAAAGCAGGAGAAUCAGGGAGAAGGGAAAGAUACAGAAGUUAGAACUUAGAAAUGGUACUGUGAGUGGUUAUUUUGCCUCUUAAAAAAAGGGUGUUGUGAAUAAUACCUUUUCUUCUGAGUUUCCAUUGCCUCAACAGCAUCCUUUUUCAACUCCUCCAGCUGUGCUUUGGCUAUUUUAAGCUCCAGCUGCUCUUCGUGCUUUGGCAAUUCUUCUUUUCGAAUUCCAAGUCUAAGAUGGCACCAUCAAGGGGUGAAAAAACAACAAGUGGAAAACCAAAAUAAGUAAAGUAAUUAUAACCCAGUAAUUCAUUCUGCUCAAAUGAAUAUAAUAAUAAUCAAACACUUUAGAAUCCUCCCUAGCAAAGUAAACAUUUAAAUUACCCAAACAAAGGCUAGCAUUCAAACAACUAAAUGGAAUGAAUCCCAAACGAAACAGAAAGGACAAUUGACCACACCACACAUAGAGGAUAGACUAUAAAAUUCCCACACAAGCGCCCACAAAAUGCAAUAUUUGGAAAGAACAAAAACAUGUAAAUACCUUCAUGAAUUAUAAGAGUUGGUCGAUAUUGUCUACUCAAAAAUACAUUUUAUCACAAAAAACUGUUUCCUCUACAGCAUAAGAUGAAAUGAUCAUUUUACAAUAGAAUGAGGAUACUGAAAUACAACUACACCAGUAAAUAAUAUUUAAAAAUCACCAAAUAUAUAGAAAGUAUCCCGUUAAAUUGCAUGAAAACAUAAACAAUAAAACAGUUACAUAGAAAAGCUAGAAAAGAUACAAUAUAGGAAUAUGAACUUACUUGUUAUUAAUCUUAUCAAACUCUGCCAAAAGAAGGUCCAUUCCUUUCUUAUCAUUUCUCAAUAGGGGUUUCUUUAAAUCCUUUUCAAUUUUCUCCAAUGCAUCAAACAUUAAAGCCUCUGCUCCAAGAUCAUCAGUAAGACCUCUCCUGAAAAGAAAUGUACCCAGAUAUAUGAGCCAAUGUGACUAGAGCCCGAUGUAACCUGAAGCAAGGGAUGUCUGCAUCAUGUUCCCUUUUCUCGCAUUUGUAAAUAUAUAAAACAUAUGCACGCACCUAAGUUUGAAAAGGAGAGCUAAUCGGGUAAAUAAUAAUAAUAAUUCAGGGAAUUCAUGAUUUUGAGUAAAGAACAGAGUGAUUUGACAAUUUUAAGAACCGCAUGUUUAAAAGAAGGUGUUGUGUAACAGACACAACUACAUUAAGUGGUACAUUGCGUCUAUCAUUUGAUUUUGAAGUCUCACUAGAUUCUAUGGCGUUCCUUCCAUGCUGAAUCCUUCCCCAUAUAUCCUAAAUCUCGAUUGAAAUGAUAUACUGGUACCGGCGUUGGGUUUACGAAUGUAUCUCUCUCUUGUUGUUUUCUUGGUUCCUUAAGCUUAUCCUAUAUCCUCUCUUCUUUUUUCUGUUUCAUCUGUUACCUUCUUUCUUUUGGUACUGAUUGUUUUGACUUGGGCAGGAGAAAGUGGGUGUGGGAAUAACAAUAAUCUUCACAAAUUUCAUUAUAUAAUUCCUAAAAUAUUUGAUUUGAAACACGCUACUGGAAUUUCAGUAUUUUUGACGUAGAAGGUGUGGGGGUGGUUCUAUCGUGGGACAGAUAGAGUGACUAGGAGGGAAGGGGAGAAAACUACAGUGUUGUGGGAGUAUGUCAGAAUUGCUUAAAACCCUCAAUCGAUAAGUAGAAAAAUGUUGUGCAUCACCACAAAGACCGAUUGCCCAUGUUAGACACCACCUUAAGAGAAAGCCCUUUGACAAUGAGAAAAAGGUAAACUGAAUAGAAAUAAUCAUAUUAUAGUACAUAUCACAAAAACAAAGAUCUUCAACGUUAAAAAGUAAUAAUAAUGUACAUUAUAUAUAUAUAUAUAUAUGUAUGCACAUCAUCUAGUUAAAAAUGGAGAGUAAAAUAGAACAUCACGUACUUGGUUCUUAUUUCCUUCAAGGUUAAAAGAUAAGUCCGAGCAUCAGGAAUAUCUUGUGUCUCUAUAUCAAUGUCAGCCUUGACAUCUUGAGCCACUGACAGCAAGUUUGCCCUGAAGAAUGCACAACAAAAUGCAGGCAAAACAUAAUUAAGUAUUGUAAACAACAAAAAUUAAAUGUUUAAAGAUUACGAAAUAUAUACUGGUAAAUACUGAGAAGACUAUAUUAAAAACAACAAGGUAAAGGAGAAACUCACUUCUCUCUGAUUGUUUUCAUGACCUUCGCAUAUUGAGAAACAGCAGCUGGAUCCUCUGGAGCUAUGGUGAUCUUCUCCUUCCUUAAUAUUCCGAUGGAAGUCUCAAAUUUGUUCUUCACUUCCAAAUAAAUCUUCUUCAGCAUCUC
Molecule: long non-coding RNA, 3122 nt
Filed under: Medicago truncatula (barrel medic)
Lineage: Eukaryota; Viridiplantae; Streptophyta; Magnoliopsida; Fabales; Fabaceae
Description: lncRNA gene49538
Source: RNAcentral